GAUGAACGCUGGCGGCGUGCCUAAUACAUGCAAGUCGAGCGAACGGACGAGAAGCUUGCUUCUCUGAUGUUAGCGGCGGACGGGUGAGUAACACGUGGAUAACCUACCUAUAAGACUGGGAUAACUUCGGGAAACCGUAGCUAAUACCGGAUAAUAUUUUGAACCGCAUGGUUCAAAAGUGAAAGACGGUCUUGCUGUCACUUAUAGAUGGAUCCGCGCUGCAUUAGCUAGUUGGUAAGGUAACGGCUUACCAAGGCAACGAUGCAUAGCCGACCUGAGAGGGUGAUCGGCCACACUGGAACUGAGACACGGUCCAGACUCCUACGGGAGGCAGCAGUAGGGAAUCUUCCGCAAUGGGCGAAAGCCUGACGGAGCAACGCCGCGUGAGUGAUGAAGGUCUUCGGAUCGUAAAACUCUGUUAUUAGGGAAGAACAUCUGUGUAAGUAACUGUGCACAUCUUGACGGUACCUAAUCAGAAAGCCACGGCUAACUACGUG
This 497-nucleotide ribosomal RNA is filed under the name uncultured bacterium. Its description in RNAcentral is "partial 16S ribosomal RNA". It matches the Rfam family "Bacterial small subunit ribosomal RNA", at positions 28 to 507 of the family's 1533-position model. The record is from RNAcentral.